UGGGGGAUAUUGCACAAUGGGCGAAAGCCUGAUGCAGCGACGCCGCGUGGGGGAUGAAGGCCUUCGGGUUGUAAACUUCUUUUGCUCUGAACAAGGCAUGCUAAUGGGUGUUUUGAGUGUAGGGGUUGAUUAGCGCCGGCUAACUACGUGCCAGCAGCCGCGGUAAUACGUAGGGCGCGGUCGUUGUCCGGAAUUAUUGGGCGUAAAGGGCUUGGAGGUGGCUGGAUGCGUCUGUCGUGAAAGGUAAUGGCUUAACUGGGGGAUUGCAGUGGGUACGGGCUGGCUAGAGUGCAGGAGAGUAGGCUGGAAUUCCAGGUGUAGCGGUGGAAUGAGCAGAUAUCAGGAGGAAUACCGGUGGCGAAGGCGGGUCUCUGGGCUGUUACUGACACUGAGGAGCGAAAGCAUGGGGAGCGAACAGG
This 419-nucleotide ribosomal RNA is filed under the name bacterium. RNAcentral describes it as "partial 16S ribosomal RNA". It matches the Rfam family "Bacterial small subunit ribosomal RNA", at positions 355 to 776 of the family's 1533-position model. The record is from RNAcentral.